RNAcentral lists this ribosomal RNA (497 nucleotides) under uncultured bacterium. RNAcentral's name for it is "partial 16S ribosomal RNA". It matches the Rfam family "Bacterial small subunit ribosomal RNA", at positions 28 to 507 of the family's 1533-position model. The record is from RNAcentral.
GAUGAACGCUGGCGGCGUGCCUAAUACACGCAAGUCGAGCGAACAGAUGAGGAGCUUGCUCCUCUGACGUUAGCGGCGGACGGGUGAGUAACACGUGGAUAACCUACCUAUAAGACUGGGAUAACUUCGGGAAACCGGAGCUAAUACCGGAUAAUAUAUUGAACCGCAUGGUUCAAUAGUGAAAGACGGUUUUGCUGUCACUUAUAGAUGGAUCCGCGCCGCAUUAGCUAGUUGGUAAGGUAACGGCUUACCAAGGCAACGAUGCGUAGCCGACCUGAGAGGGUGAUCGGCCACACUGGAACUGAGACACGGUCCAGACUCCUACGGGAGGCAGCAGUAGGGAAUCUUCCGCAAUGGGCGAAAGCUUGACGGAGCAACGCCGCGUGAGUGAUGAAGGUCUUCGGAUCGUAAAACUCUGUUAUUAGGGAAGAACAAAUGUGUAAGUAACUAUGCACGUCUUGACGGUACCUAAUCAGAAAGCCACGGCUAACUACGUG